This 448-nucleotide ribosomal RNA is filed under the name uncultured bacterium. RNAcentral's name for it is "partial 16S ribosomal RNA". It matches the Rfam family "Bacterial small subunit ribosomal RNA", at positions 30 to 523 of the family's 1533-position model. The record is from RNAcentral.
AUUGAACGCUGGCGGCAGGCUUAACACAUGCAAGUCGAACGGGCACUUCGGUGUCAGUGGCAGACGGGUGAGUAACACGUGGAACGUACCUUUUGGUCCGGAACAACUGAGGGAAACUUCAGCUAAUACCGGAUAAGCCCUUACGGGGAAAGAUUUAUCGCCGAAAGAUCGGCCCGCGUCUGAUUAGCUAGUUGGUAGGGUAAUGGCCUACCAAGGCGACGAUCAGUAGCUGGUCUGAGAGGAUGAUCAGCCACAUUGGGACUGAGACACGGCCCAAACUCCUACGGGAGGCAGCAGUGGGGAAUAUUGGACAAUGGGGGCAACCCUGAUCCAGCCAUGCCGCGUGAGUGAUGAAGGCCCUAGGGUUGUAAAGCUCUUUUGUGCGGGAAGAUAAUGACGGUACCGCAAGAAUAAGCCCCGGCUAACUUCGUGCCAGCAGCCGCGGUAA